Molecule: long non-coding RNA, 1460 nt
Filed under: Olea europaea subsp. europaea
Lineage: Eukaryota; Viridiplantae; Streptophyta; Magnoliopsida; Lamiales; Oleaceae
Source: RNAcentral
GCCACAUUUCCAACUCUUUCUCGAUUUCAACUUCUCUUACUUUCCAAAUUGUAGUAUACCUUUCAUUAGUUCCACCUUUAGAACAGCUUUAUGUCCAACCUCAAACGUCAACUCCUUCCCUUUCUUGUCGGCAUAACUUUUUCAGACGGUUAUGUACUAUCUUAGUUUUCAUUCCAAUCUUUUCAACAGCGUCAACUAUUUUCUUAACGAGUUUAGGACCUAGCAUCUUCCUUUUACCCACUUCAUCCCAGUAUAUUGGCUAACGACCUCACCUACCAUAUAAGGCCUCAUAUGGUGCCCAUAAUAACUUGAAAACUGUUAUUGUAGGCAAGUUAUACCAACGGCAAGUGAAUUUUCCAAUUUCAACCCCAAUCUAAGAUACAAUCUCUUAACGUAACUUCAAAAAUAUUGGUAGUGUAUUCCGCUUGCCCAUCAGUCUGAGGAUGGAAAGGAUGGGCCUAUAUUAUUUUGACCCUGAGUUUAGGCUUUAGAGUUAACGCAGCUAUCAUCGUCUUUGUUCAAGUUGAAGGCGUUAGUACCUCAAUUUCCAAAUUUUCAAGGUCUUUAGUUAACUGUUCUUGAUCACUUCUGAAAACUAGUAGUUGACCCACCUUCUUUUUACUUAGUGUGUGUGCGACUCACUAGUUUUACAAGAAUGGUAAUGGAUAGUACAAUCAUAAUCCUUCAUUGGCUCUAGCCAUCGUAUUUGUCUCAUAUAUUAUUAUUUGAGUGAUGAAGUAUUUAACUUCUUAUAGUCGGUGUCAAUUUCACUCUUGCUUCCGUAUAAGUAGUGAUGCCAAAUUUUAAGAGCAUGAACUAUUGCUGUGAGUUUUAAAUGAUGCAUCCGAUGGUUUUGUUCAUAUUGCUUCAACUGUUUCGAUGCAUAUGCUAUCACUUUCCUGUUUUGCAAAAAAUCCCCUAUCCUAACUUGAAUGCAUUACUCACCCGUCUGAACCUUCUAGUAUGGUCGACAGUGGGGUAGAAACUAGUUUAUCCUUUAACUCUUGAAAGCUUUUCUCUUACUUUUCUGACCAAAUGAACUUUCUUCUGCAGCAAUUGCUUCGAAGGCCCUAAAAUUUUAGGGAAACCUUCUAUGAAAUACCGAUAGUAGCCUCUUAAACCUAAAAGGCUCCUCACAUCUCCAACAUUAGUAGAUAUCGAAUAAUUAUUCAAAACAUCGACCUUGGUUGGGUCCACUUCAGUCCCAUGGGCAGUCAAUAAAUGACAUACGAAUCCCACAUGAUCAAGUCAAAAUUCACACUUUUGAAUUUGACGUAAAAGUUUUGUUUACGUGAAGUCUCUAACACUAUCCUCAGAUAUUUUUCGUGCUAUUAAAAUACUCGGUUCAUCAAGUCCUUAACAACUGCAUAAGCUUUGUUUCAUUUUCUAACGUGCCAGUAAGGUUAAAAAGAUAUCCCUGGCAAGACUCAUUCUUUAGCAACUUCUUCGCAUAGUUGAAA